ACCUGCUCACCCCUCCGCGCUCCGGCCGCGGGCUGGGCAGCCCCCACCCAGAACCCUCUGGAGCCCCCAGGAGACCACCCUGUUGUUUGUUGACCUUGGCAACUGUUGCCAGAGCCCGGGGUUGUGAACCCCAGGCCGAGGAGCGUGGCGCUGGUGGAGAGCCCCAGGCAGCAUCCCGGGCCCGGGACUCCCUGCUGCUGUCCCCUGCGCCCACCUGGCGCCUGAUGCGACCUGCAGCUUCCCUUCCCGGGUGGCCCUUGAGCUGUGGCCACCCUCGGUGUCUGGCCACAACGGGUCCUGUGUCCCGGGGCGUGGUCCCUCCUGGCCUGGGGUCUGGCUGGGAACCCACCAUCUCACUGCGUUGGCCCAGUGCCAUUUAUCUAGCACUUUCCAAGAGCCAGCCUCUGCCCGCUGCUGGGGAUGAGACACAGGCCCCUAGGUACCCCCCAGUCCUGGCGGCACCUACACCAGGCUCGGUGGGCAUGGGGGUGGGCGGCGCCUCCCGCCCCGAGGACGGAAUCUUUCAGUGGAAGCCAGGGAAUGGCGAAGGGCCAGCAGGUGCCUGGAGCCACCCGAACACCCAACACUGACAUGGGGUGGAGUCAGCCAGGCCGACCCCCAGGGCUCCCCUCUCCCCGCAGAGAAAGAAGGGGUGCAGGCAGGUGAGCACUGGGUUUGUAGGAGGAAGAAGCAGGGCAGGACUGCGUCGGGGUUGGGGGGGGGAUCUCCUGGGGACCCAGGAAGUGGGGAGAGGCAGAGGGGGCGGCCGGCCCCAGGGGCACUGCGCCCUGCUCCCCAGUGCAGCGAGCCUCAGCCUGUGCCUCCUGCUGCCUGUGGGCGUGGGGCCCUGCGGGGAGCAGGGGUGAGGCUCUGGGAGCCAGGAGAGGUGAGUCCUCGCCACACACAGCCUCUAGCUCCCUCCGCCUCCUCUCCACAGCGUGCAGGUCGCUGCUCAGGCAUUUACAAUGGACAAUUUGCUCUCAAGGUAGAAGAGAAUACAGGCCCUCCAUCCUGUGAAAUCCCUACCGUGAGCUAUGACACUGCUCAAAUGGAAAAGGCUAGAGCCACACAGGUUCAUUAUGUACUGGAAACAAGCGCCUUGUGGGAAGUAACUAUUUCUAGAAUGAUCUCAGUUUUGUUAAAAACUGGAAAGGGAAACAAAGAUUUUUUUUAGAGAAAGAUUUACUUAUUUUAUUUGAAAGGCAGAGAUACAGAGAGAUUCAGAAAGAGAGAGAGAGAGAGAGAGAGAGAGAGAGCGAGCUUCCACCUGCUGGCUCACCCCCCCCCCCCCAGUUGGCUGCAAGAGCCAGAGCUGAGCCAAUCUGAAGCCAGGAGCUUUUCCUUUCUGGAAGGAAAGACAGAUCCGAGGUGAGUUUUGGCAAGAACUGAGUUUUAACUCCGCACUGAACCCCAAGGCUGCAGUUUCACCCUGUUCUCUGCAAGGUAUGGACUUCGCUUCCAGAGAGGGGAGCCAAGCUCCAUCGUCAGACAGACAGGCAGGCAGAAGCCCAGAAUCCAGACUCGCUCUUCCUCACCUUGCCGGACCCCCUCCAUUGCCAACAUCGGCCACAGACUCAGCAGAGCCCGGGCUGUGGCGGUUUCCUGUUGUGCAGAUGACCAGGAAGACAACGGCUAGAGCAACAGGCACGUGGAAUCCAACCUUCUGUUCAGUCUCACAAGGUUGGGAUCAAGGUCACCGGCUGAGCCACCUUCUCCUCUGGAGGCUUGACUGGGGAAGAAUCUGCUUCCUGACUUGUUGAGGUGAGGUCUCCCACUCAGACGCGUGCUCACCCUGAUGUGAGGACUUCAAAGGGCACCUAGACGGAGUUCCAGGCUCCUGCCCCAGCCCCUGCAGCCAUUUGUGGAGUGAACCGGCAGAUGAAGAUCUCUCUCUCUCUCUCUCUCUCUCUCUCUCUCUGCAACUCUGCCUUUCAAAAAUAAAUCAAUACAUACAUUUUAUUUUAAAUGGGGAGGGAGAGGCGGUCCAGGGAGACUGCAUCUAAAGAUGAGUUGAUUUUGGUGCCAAACCCUUUUGAAACCCAUGAACUCUUCAAAAAGUUCAUGAAAACGCUUGUUGUGAAAAGACUAUGCAUGGAUGUGGAAAGUCUUUGCCCCAGAAUAAACAUGCAGUGGCCCAACUGUACAACUGGUCUCCCCAUCCAGGCGAGGUUGGCUCAGACGCACGGAGGGGGCCCAUAGAGCCCAGGCGGUGCCCGCCAUGGCUGCACCAAGCAGAACAGUAAGCCACGUGCGCAAGGUGACUGAGGGGGAAGCUAGGCAGCCCUGUAUGGUGCCUGGGGCGGGGUUCCCAGCCAGGCUCAGCCACGCCCCUGCCCACACCCCACACCUGCCUGUAGCCCCAGCAUGGUCUAUGGUCUGAAGUUCCUGGAUCUAGCAGGAAGAGCCCGUUGCCGUGGCAACCAUGGGGGCUGCGGGGGCUGCAGGUGCUUUGGCCAGUGCCCUCCACCUGCAGUCCUGGGGCCGGCCUCGCUGGCUGGGCAGCGGGCACUGGAGGAGACUGGUGUCCCGGCUGUUCUUUGGGCUUGGUGGUGGAGGGUUGAUUAAGGGUGCAGGGAAAGUGAAGCAGGAGACAGAGAAGGGGGAUUGGGGACAAGUCCCUGCGCUCCAGGCCCCCAGGCCGGCCCCCACUUUUCCUCUCAGCAUCUUGCAGGCACCUCCAGGGGAAUUUUCUGGAAUGCAGCAUGGCGGCACUGGGGUUGUGAGUUCACCGGCUCCUUACGGGAGGGGUGGGGACUUCGCAGCCAGGCCACUGUGGUUGUCAGGGAUGAGUUGUAGGCUCCCCACGCCCAGGGGCAUCUCGCGGGGCUCGCUUCCCCGGGACAAACUCCGAGCAGGGCCUCCGCUGGCCUGGACCCCUUCAUCUUUGCUCCUGCGGCGCCAGCAGCAGCCGUGCUUGGCUUGAGUCUCCUGGUUCUGGAACCUUCUGUGGUCACCACGCUGCAAGUCCCUGGGGUCCUGCUGGGUCUGGGGCUCUCACCGGCCCAUUGCACUGCCCUCCCUGGCCUUCUGCCCUCACCUGGUACCUCCCAAGCCUUCAAGCCUUUGGGCUGUGGGGUUGCAAUGAACCUUGGAUUUUCCAAGUCUUAUUUCCUGCACACCUCCUGCCUCCAACACUUGACGUUUUCCUUCAACUGUGCCAUUCUUGGAGGGAGGGAGGGAGGGAGGGAGACCCUCCUCCCUUCCCCUGCAUCAGCAGUCCAGGGAGAAGCCAGCUCACCCCCAGGGGCAGGAGCCCAGACAGCGCCGACAGCUGCCCCCUGCGCCCCGGAGAGGAGCGUGCACCCAGCAGCAGGCACCUGCAGAAGACACUUGGGCCGCCCCAGGCGUCGGAUUUCACAUGCGCCAAAUGUAGAAAGCAUUAGCUGUUUCCCCCAAUAAGCUCACAUCUGUAGCUCCAUUCUGACGGGGAUAAAAUUACCCUGGUUAUUAAUCCUUAUGCUCUAGGGUAGAAGCUGAUCACCAGCUGGGGUCAGGAAAAAACGCAGCUCCAGCCCCUGGGCGCCGCCUCCCCCCAGCCUCACCUGCCCCGUGUCCCGCAGUGUAUGGUUACAACUUCGGUCUCCAGACAGGGCUCAAGGCUGCCAGCUGAGAUGCCUUGAGGCUCCAGCCUGCUCUGUGGCGAGCGUGUGGACUGAGCAUCUACUUAGGAUAAGGCACCACUGGGCUCUCCUGUGAGGACACAAAGACCCUUGUCUUUUUUAUGCCAAGAACGGCUGAAACUGGGAUGGGUACUUGGCCUAGUGGUUACGAUGUGCACAUCCAUAGUGGAGCCAAUUCCAGUUCUGCACCUGACCCCAGCUUCCUGCUGCCAAAGGCUCUGGGAGGCAGCUGGUGAUGGCUCAAGUGGUUGGGGUCUUGCCACCCAUAUGGGAAACCAGGAGGGUGUUCUCAGCUUCUCAACUGGUUGCUAUGGGCACUUGGGUGGUAAACUUGUGAAAGGAAGAAUCCUCUCUCUCUCUCUCUCUCUCUCUCUCUCUCUCUCUGCCUCUUACUCUCAAUAAAUGAAAUUUUUCAAAAGCAAAGCUAAAGUGACUGAAAAGCUAAAUGUGGUUUCAGGGACCCCCUGCUCUGGGUCUAUCCGAUGGCCAGCUGGGGAAUGGACAGUACCUCCGUGCCUGCUGCCAACAAGGAAUGGGGCCAUUUCCACCAGCCUCGAGCUUCUGAGACCGCUCCCUACCGUGAACCCACGGGCCAGGCCAUUCGGGUUCUGUCUCUGAGCCUUUCUCUUUAGGCCUCAGUCUUCAGGCCCUGGGAUGUCCAGGGGUCUCAAUUGCCCUGAGUGGGACCAAGAGGUGAGAGCGUGUUGAGAGCCAGGGCUGAGUUUUGCUGGACCAUCAGGUCUGGAGGCUACAACACAAAACAAGGGACAGCCCUGAGUGUCUGUUUUCCUCAGACCUGGGCUCGCGUGGGCCGGCCACGUGAUGUAGCAUCCAGACUGGGAUUUCUCAGUAAUGCCAAGAGGCGCUAUUGGUAAUGCCGUGGAAUUUUCUGGCGCAGGCUGGCUUGUGUUUGUUCCACCUCAGGGGCGUCCC
Molecule: non-coding RNA, 4553 nt
Organism: Oryctolagus cuniculus (rabbit)
Lineage: Eukaryota; Metazoa; Chordata; Mammalia; Lagomorpha; Leporidae
Source: RefSeq, a predicted model, not a curated record